AGCGUAGACGGGAUGUUAAGUCAGCUGUGAAAGUUUGGGGCUCAACCUUAAAAUUGCAGUUGAUACUGGCGUCCUUGAGUGCGGUUGAGGUAUGUGGAAUUCGUGGUGUAGCGGUGAAAUGCUUAGAUAUCACGAAGAACUCCGAUUGCGAAGGCAGCAUACUAAGCCGCUACUGACGUUGAGGCUCGAAAGUGUGGGUAUCAAACA
Molecule: ribosomal RNA, 207 nt
Filed under: uncultured Bacteroides sp.
Lineage: Bacteria; Pseudomonadati; Bacteroidota; Bacteroidia; Bacteroidales; Bacteroidaceae
Description: partial 16S ribosomal RNA
Rfam family: Bacterial small subunit ribosomal RNA
Source: RNAcentral